AUUGAACGCUGGCGGAAUGCUUUACACAUGCAAGUCGAGCGGCAGCGCGGGGCAACCUGGCGGCGAGCGGCGAACGGGUGAGUAACACAUCGGAACGUACCCUGUCGUGGGGGAUAACACAUCGAAAGAUGUGCUAAUACCGCAUACGACCUGAGGGUGAAAGCGGGGGAUCGCAAGACCUCGCGCGAUAGGAGCGGCCGAUGGCGGAUUAGCUAGUUGGUGAGGUAAAGGCUCACCAAGGCGACGAUCCGUAGCUGGUCUGAGAGGACGACCAGCCACACUGGAACUGAGACACGGUCCAGACUCCUACGGGAGGCAGCAGUGGGGAAUUUUGGACAAUGGGCGCAAGCCUGAUCCAGCCAUUCCGCGUGAGUGAAGAAGGCCUUCGGGUUGUAAAGCUCUUUCGGCAGGAACGAAACGGUGGGGGCUAAUAUCCCCUGCUAAUGACGGUACCUGAAGAAGAAGCACCGGCUAACUACGUGCCAGCCGCCGCCGUAA
Molecule: ribosomal RNA, 498 nt
Filed under: uncultured bacterium
Lineage: Bacteria
Description: partial 16S ribosomal RNA
Rfam family: Bacterial small subunit ribosomal RNA
Source: RNAcentral